GAUGAAGAACGUAGCGAAAUGCGAUAAGUAAUGUGAAUUGCAGAAUUCAGUGAAUCAUCGAAUCUUUGAACGCACAUUGCGCCCCUUGGUAUUCCGGGGGGCAUGCCUGUUCGAGCGUCAUUAUCACCCCUCAAGCUCAGCUUGGUGUUGGGGCCGGCCCGUCACAGGGCCGCCCCUAAAAGCAGUGGCGGUGCCAUCUGGCUCUACGCGUAGUAAUACUCCUCGCGACAGAGUCCCGGUGGUCUCCUGCCAGAACCCCCCAUUUUUUAAUGAUUGACCUCGGAUCAGGUAGGGAUACCCGCUGAGCUUAAGCAUAUCAAUAAGCGGAGGA
Molecule: unclassified non-coding RNA, 331 nt
Filed under: soil metagenome
Description: partial contains 5.8S ribosomal RNA, internal transcribed spacer 2, and large subunit ribosomal RNA
Rfam family: 5.8S ribosomal RNA (bases 1-120)
Source: RNAcentral